UACGAAGGGGGCUAGCGUUGUUCGGAAUUACUGGGCGUAAAGCGCACGUAGGCGGACAUCUAAGUCAGGGGUGAAAUCCCGGGGCUCAACCCCGGAACUGCCUUUGAUACUGGGUGUCUUGAGUCCGGAAGAGGUGAGUGGAAUUGCGAGUGUAGAGGUGAAAUUCGUAGAUAUUCGCAGGAACACCAGUGGCGAAGGCGGCUCACUGGUCCGGUACUGACGCUGAGGUGCGAAAGCGUGGGGAGCGAACCGGG
RNAcentral lists this ribosomal RNA (254 nucleotides) under uncultured bacterium. Its description in RNAcentral is "partial 16S ribosomal RNA". It matches the Rfam family "Bacterial small subunit ribosomal RNA", at positions 524 to 777 of the family's 1533-position model. The record is from RNAcentral.